RNAcentral lists this ribosomal RNA (476 nucleotides) under uncultured bacterium. RNAcentral's name for it is "bacterial SSU rRNA". It matches the Rfam family "Bacterial small subunit ribosomal RNA", at positions 28 to 486 of the family's 1533-position model. The record is from RNAcentral.
GAUGAACGCCGGCGGUGUGCCUAAUACGUGCAAGUCGUACGCACUGGCCCAACUGAUUAAUGGUGCUUGCACCUGAUUGACGAUGGAUCACCAGUGAGUGGCGGACGGGUGAGUAACACGUAGGUAACCUGCCCCGGAGCGGGGGAUAACAUUUGGAAACAGAUGCUAAUACCGCAUAACAACAAAAACCACAUGGCUUUUGUUUGAAAGAUGGCUUUGGCUAUCACUCUGGGAUGGACCUGCGGUGCAUUAGCUAGUUGGUAAGGUAACGGCUUACCAAGGCGAUGAUGCAUAGCCGAGUUGAGAGACUGAUCGGCCACAAUGGAACUGAGACACGGUCCAUACUCCUACGGGAGGCAGCAGUAGGGAAUCUUGCGCAAUGGAGGAAACUCUGAUGCAGCGACGCCGCGUGAGUGAAGAAGUAAUUCGUAUGUAAAGCUCUAUCAGCAGGGAAGAUAGUGACGGUACCUGACUAA